This 468-nucleotide ribosomal RNA is filed under the name uncultured bacterium. RNAcentral's name for it is "partial 16S ribosomal RNA". It matches the Rfam family "Bacterial small subunit ribosomal RNA", at positions 28 to 507 of the family's 1533-position model. The record is from RNAcentral.
GAUGAACGCUGGCGGCGUGCUUAACACAUGCAAGUCGAACGGUGAAGGCGGAGCUUGCUCUGCUGGAUCAGUGGCGAACGGGUGAGUAACACGUGAGCAAUCUGCCCCUGACUCUGGGAUAAGCGCUGGAAACGGCGUCUAAUACUGGAUACGAGCUGCGAAGGCAUCUUCAGCAGCUGGAAAGAAUUUCGGUCAGGGAUGAGCUCGCGGCCUAUCAGCUUGUUGGUGAGGUAAUGGCUCACCAAGGCGUCGACGGGUAGCCGGCCUGAGAGGGUGACCGGCGACACUGGGACUGAGAGACGGCCCAGACUCCUACGGGAGGCAGCAGUGGGGAAUAUUGCACAAUGGGCGAAAGCCUGAUGCAGCAACGCCGGGUGAGGGAAGACGGCCUUCGGGUUGAAAACCUCUUUUAGCAGGGAAGAAGCGAAAGUGACGGUACCUGAAGAAAAAGCGCCGGCUAACUACGUG